RNAcentral lists this ribosomal RNA (301 nucleotides) under uncultured bacterium. Its description in RNAcentral is "partial 16S ribosomal RNA". It matches the Rfam family "Bacterial small subunit ribosomal RNA", at positions 509 to 807 of the family's 1533-position model. The record is from RNAcentral.
CAGUCGCCGCGGGAAUACGGAGGGGGCUAGCGUUACUCGGAAUUACUGGGCGUAAAGCGUGCGUAGGUGGUGGUUUAAGUCCGUUGUGAAAGCCCUGGGCUCAACCUGGGAAUUGCAGUGGAUACUGGGUCACUAGAGUGUGGUAGAGGAUAGUGGAAUUUCCGGUGUAGCAGUGAAAUGCGUAGAGAUCGAGAGGAACAUCAGUGGCGAAGGCGGCCAUCUGGGACAACACUGACGCUGAAGCACGAAAGCGUGGGGAGCAAACAGGAUUAGAUACCCCGGUAGUCCCUGUCUCUUAUAC